UGGUAUUGAUUGGUGCUUGCAUCAUGAUUUACAUUUGAGUGAGUGGCGAACUGGUGAGUAACACGUGGGAAACCUGCCCAGAAGCGGGGGAUAACACCUGGAAACAGAUGCUAAUACCGCAUAACAACUUGGACCGCAUGGUCCGAGUUUGAAAGAUGGCUUCGGCUAUCACUUUUGGAUGGUCCCGCGGCGUAUUAGCUAGAUGGUGGGGUAACGGCUCACCAUGGCAAUGAUACGUAGCCGACCUGAGAGGGUAAUCGGCCACAUUGGGACUGAGACACGGCCCAAACUCCUACGGGAGGCAGCAGUAGGGAAUCUUCCACAAUGGACGAAAGUCUGAUGGAGCAACGCCGCGUGAGUGAAGAAGGGUUUCGGCUCGUAAAACUCUGUUGUUAAAGAAGAACAUAUCUGAGAGUAACUGUUCAGGUAUUGACGGUAUUUAACCAGAAAGCCACGGCUAACUACGUGCCAGCAGCCGCGGUAAUACGUAGGUGGCAAGCGUUGUCCGGAUUUAUUGGGCGUAAAGCGAGCGCAGGCGGUUUUUUAAGUCUGAUGUGAAAGCCUUCGGCUCAACCGAAGAAGUGCAUCGGAAACUGGGAAACUUGAGUGCAGAAGAGGACAGUGGAACUCCAUGUGUAGCGGUGAAAUGCGUAGAUAUAUGGAAGAACACCAGUGGCGAAG
This 681-nucleotide ribosomal RNA is filed under the name uncultured Lactobacillaceae bacterium. RNAcentral's name for it is "bacterial SSU rRNA". It matches the Rfam family "Bacterial small subunit ribosomal RNA", at positions 67 to 720 of the family's 1533-position model. Lineage: Bacteria; Bacillati; Bacillota; Bacilli; Lactobacillales; Lactobacillaceae. The record is from RNAcentral.